RNAcentral lists this ribosomal RNA (440 nucleotides) under uncultured bacterium. RNAcentral's name for it is "partial 16S ribosomal RNA". It matches the Rfam family "Bacterial small subunit ribosomal RNA", at positions 338 to 795 of the family's 1533-position model. The record is from RNAcentral.
CCUACGGGUGGCAGCAGUGGGGAAUAUUGCACAAUGGGGGAAACCCUGAUGCAGCGACGCCGCGUGAGUGAAGAAGUAUUUCGGUAUGUAAAGCUCUAUCAGCAGGGAAGAAAAUGACGGUACCUGACUAAGAAGCACCGGCUAACUACGUGCCAGCCGCCGCGGUAAUACGUAGGGGGCAAGCGUUAUCCGGAUGUACUGGGUGUAAAGGGAGCGUAGACGGGCAGGCAAAGCAGAAGUGAAAGCCCAGGGCUCAACCCUGGGACUGCUUUUGAACAUGGCGGGCUGGAGUGAAGGAGAGGUAAGCGGAAUUACUAGUGUAGCGGUGAAAUGCGUAGAUAUUAGGAGGAACACCAGUGGCGAAGGCGGCUUACUGGACUGUAACUGACGUUGAGGCUCGAAAGCGUGGGGAGCAAACAGGAUUAGAUACCCGGGUAGUC